Molecule: RNase P RNA, 277 nt
Filed under: Pseudomonas baetica
Lineage: Bacteria; Pseudomonadati; Pseudomonadota; Gammaproteobacteria; Pseudomonadales; Pseudomonadaceae
Description: partial RNase P RNA component class A
Rfam family: Bacterial RNase P class A
About the family: Ribonuclease P (RNase P) is a ubiquitous endoribonuclease, found in archaea, bacteria and eukarya as well as chloroplasts and mitochondria. Its best characterised activity is the generation of mature 5'-ends of tRNAs by cleaving the 5'-leader elements of precursor-tRNAs. Cellular RNase Ps are ribonucleoproteins.
Source: RNAcentral
GGGAGACGGGCGGAGGGGAGGAAAGUCCGGGCUCCAUAGGGCAAGGUGCCAGGUAACGCCUGGGGGGUGUCACAGCCCACGACCAGUGCAACAGAGAGCAAACCGCCGAUGGCCCGCGCAAGCGGGAUCAGGUAAGGGUGAAAGGGUGCGGUAAGAGCGCACCGCGCGGCUGGUAACAGUCCGCGGCACGGUAAACUCCACCCGGAGCAAGGCCAAAUAGGGGUUCAUAAGGUACGGCCCGUACUGAACCCGGGUAGGCUGCUUGAGCCAGUGAGCG